Long non-coding RNA from Dalotia coriaria, 258 nucleotides. RefSeq lists it as uncharacterized. The transcript is spliced from 2 exons. Lineage: Eukaryota; Metazoa; Arthropoda; Insecta; Coleoptera; Staphylinidae. The record is from RefSeq and is a predicted model, not a curated record.
CAAAAGAUUGCGUUUCAUUAUUUCCACCUGGAGCCAUCACUGAAAGAAUGUUUUGUGCUCAGAAUUAUUAUUUAAGACAAGAUGCAUGCACGGGUGAUUCCGGUGGUCCAAUGUAUGGCAGAGGAGAAUUAAUUGGUAUAGUAUCCUGGGGGAUAGCCUGCGCAGACGGGACAACUCCUGGUGUUUAUACAAACGUCCCAAAAGUCCUAGAUUUUAUAAAUUUACAUCUGAAACAAUAAACAUAAUGUAAAUAUCACA